CUGCUGCCUCCCGUAGGAGUCUGGGCCGUGUCUCAGUCCCAAUGUGGCCGGCCAACCUCUCAGUCCGGCUACUGAUCGUCGCCUUGGUGGGCCGUUGCCCCACCAACUAGCUAAUCAGACGCGAGUCCAUCUCAGAGCGAUAAAUCUUUGAUGUCCAGAGCCAUGCGGUUCAGACAUAUUAUGCGGUAUUAGCAGCUGUUUCCAGCUGUUACUUCCCCACUCCAAGGCAGGUU
This 233-nucleotide ribosomal RNA is filed under the name uncultured bacterium. RNAcentral describes it as "partial 16S ribosomal RNA". The record is from RNAcentral.